AUGUAUCACCUGAUUGCUCUGGGUCCCUCCUUGAACACAAAAUUUUUCAUCUCUCACUUUGUGUUUGGUCUGAAGGAUGAGGUUCGCACUGCAGUCCGUUUACAAGCUCCCACCAGUGUGACUCGAACAGUUGCUUUAGCCAAGAUACAUGAGGAAGAGUUGGAAUUACAGAAAACCAAACCCAGGUUUCAGCGUUUUGUACAUCACCAGCCAAGUCUUCCUACAGUUUCCCCUGUUACUCCAGUGCAGAAGAAAAACACAAGUGAUUUUGGAAGAGAACAUCAGUUAAGAGAUUAUCGUCGUGUGUUGGGGAUAUAA
Molecule: ribosomal RNA, 318 nt
Filed under: Triticum aestivum (bread wheat)
Lineage: Eukaryota; Viridiplantae; Streptophyta; Magnoliopsida; Poales; Poaceae
Description: partial small subunit ribosomal RNA
Source: RNAcentral